UGAAUUCGGACCACCUUGUAUAUUUAAUA
RNAcentral lists this small RNA (29 nucleotides) under Bombyx mori (domestic silkworm). Its description in RNAcentral is "piRNA piR-bmo-1686631". Lineage: Eukaryota; Metazoa; Arthropoda; Insecta; Lepidoptera; Bombycidae. The record is from RNAcentral.